This is a small nuclear RNA of Megalops cyprinoides (Indo-Pacific tarpon), 166 nucleotides long. RefSeq annotates it as U1 spliceosomal RNA. NCBI's taxonomy places the organism in Eukaryota, Metazoa, Chordata, Actinopteri, Elopiformes, Megalopidae. The transcript has a single exon. The record is from RefSeq and is a predicted model, not a curated record.
GUAAUUUCUGCUUUAUGAAUUCAAUUAAAUUUUUCAAAAAUUGAAUUUGUUCACCCGGGGCGAGGCAUUGCACUUCAUAUGCGCUGUCCCCUGCGAAUUCCCCAAAUGUGGGAAUCUCAACUGCAUGAUUUCUGGUAGUGGGGGACCGCAUUUGCGCUCUCCCCUG